AUAUUGCACAAUGGGCGCAAGCCUGAUGCAGCAACGCCGCGUGAGGGAUGACGGCCUUCGGGUUGUAAAGCACUUUUGGCAGGGAAGAAAAGGCUCUGGCUAAUACCUGGAGCUGCUGACGGUACCUCCAGAAUAAGCACCGGCCAACUACGUGCCAGCAGCAGCGGUAAUACGUAGGGUGCAAGCGUUAAUCGGAAUUACUGGUCGGAAAGCGGGCGCAGGCGGUUCGGCAAGAAGGAUGAGAAAUCCCAGGGCUUAACCUUGGAACUGCAUUCUUAACUGCCGGGCUAGAGUAUGUCAGAGGGGGGUAGAAUUCCGCGUGGAGCAGUGAAAUGCGUAGAGAUGCGGAGGAAUACCGAUGGCGAAGGCAGCCCCCUGGGAUAAUACUGACGCUCAUGCACGAAGGCGUGGGGAGCAAACA
Molecule: ribosomal RNA, 421 nt
Filed under: uncultured bacterium
Lineage: Bacteria
Description: partial 16S ribosomal RNA
Rfam family: Bacterial small subunit ribosomal RNA
Source: RNAcentral